Molecule: ribosomal RNA, 404 nt
Filed under: Verrucomicrobiota bacterium
Lineage: Bacteria; Pseudomonadati; Verrucomicrobiota
Description: Verrucomicrobia bacterium partial 16S ribosomal RNA
Rfam family: Bacterial small subunit ribosomal RNA
Source: RNAcentral
UGGGGAAUAUUGCACAAUGGGGGAAACCCUGAUGCAGCGACGCCGCGUGAGCGAUGAAGGCUUUCGAGUCGUAAAGCUCUGUCCUAUGGGAAGAUAAUGACGGUACCAUAGAAGAAAGCCCCGGCUAAUUACGUGCCAGCAGCCGCGGUAAUACGUAAGGGGCGAGCGUUGUCCGGAAUUAUUGGGCGUAAAGAGUGCGUAGGCGGCAAAUUAAGUCAGAUGUGAAAACUAAGGGCUCAACCCAUAGAUUGCAUCUGAAACUGAUAUGCUUGAGUCAAGGAGAGGAAGGUGGAAUUCCUAGUGUAGCGGUGGAAUGCGUAGAUAUUAGGAGGAAUACCGGUGGCGAAGGCGACUAUCUGGACUUGAACUGACGCUGAGGCACGAAAGCGUGGGGAGCAAACAGG